GACAGAGGGUGCAAACGUUGUUCGGAAUUACUGGGCGUAAAGCGCGUGUAGGCUGCUCGGAAAGUCGGAUGUGAAAGCCCUGGGCUCAACCUAGGAAGUGCAUUCGAAACUUCCAAGCUGGAGUGCUGGAGAGGAAGGCGGAAUUCUCGGUGUAGAGGUGAAAUUCGUAGAUAUCGAGAGGAACACCGGUGGCGAAGGCGGCAUCCUGGACCGGUAUUGACGCUGAGGCGCGAAAGCCAGGGGAGCAAACGGG
Molecule: ribosomal RNA, 253 nt
Filed under: uncultured prokaryote
Description: partial 16S ribosomal RNA
Rfam family: Bacterial small subunit ribosomal RNA
Source: RNAcentral